This 377-nucleotide ribosomal RNA is filed under the name uncultured bacterium. RNAcentral's name for it is "bacterial SSU rRNA". It matches the Rfam family "Bacterial small subunit ribosomal RNA", at positions 524 to 898 of the family's 1533-position model. The record is from RNAcentral.
UACGGAGGGGGCGAGCGUUGUUCGGAUUUACUGGGCGUAAAGGGUGUGUAGGCGGCCGCGCAAGUCUGGUGUGAAAUCUUCACCGCUUAACGGGAAGAGGUCACUGGAAACUGCGUGGCUCGAGUGUGGUAGAGGCAAGCGGAAUUCCUGGUGUAGCGGUGGAAUGUGUAGAUAUCAGGAAGAACACCGGUGGCGAAGGCGGCUUGCUGGGCCACUACUGACGCUGAGACACGAAAGCGUGGGGAGCAAACGGGAGUAGAUACCCCGGUAGUCCACGCUGUAAACGGUGCGCACUAGGUGUGAGGGGUAUCGACCCCCCUUGUGCCGAAGUCAACACAUUAAGUGCGCCGCCUGGGGAGUACGGCCGCAAGGUUGAA